Long non-coding RNA from Canis lupus familiaris (dog), 5979 nucleotides. RefSeq lists it as uncharacterized. The record is from RefSeq and is a predicted model, not a curated record. The transcript has 4 exons. Lineage: Eukaryota; Metazoa; Chordata; Mammalia; Carnivora; Canidae.
UCAACUUAAAAAAGAAUAAAUGAAGUUUGCACAUCAUGAAGAUGGUGAUGUAGGAGACCCCGGCCUCCGCCCCUUCACAAUGAAUCUAAAAACAUAGAAUUCAUAGAAACAAAGUAGAUUGGUGCUUCCCCAGGGCUGGCGGGGUGGGUGGGGGAAGAAAUGAGGAGAUAUUGGUCAAAGGGUAGAAACCUUCACUUAUAAGGUGAUUAAGUUCUGGGGAUCUAAUGUACAUCAUGGUGACUGUAGUUCAGGAUACUGUAUUAUGUCCUGGAAAGUCGUUAUGCAGGGAGAUCAUCAACACUCUCACCACAAUGACGGCAUGGUAGUGGUGAGAGGCAAGUGAUGUGUUAUCUCACCGUAUUGUGGUGAACCUCUCGCAAUAUACACAGGUGUCAGUCAUUACAUGGCACGCCUUAGACUUACAGCACAUUUUCUGUCAAUUGUAUCUCAUUAAAGCUGUAUGUUGGCUAUUUGGAUUUAAGUAAAAGAUAAAAAAUAAUAAUUUUUAAAAAUCUGUAAGGAGAAGCCAACUGAAAACAACAAUAGAGCCAGGUCACAGAGUAUCUAGAGGCUUACAGGUACUGAGAACAGCAGGAUGUUCGUGAUCCUUGAAGCUGGGUGCCGGGUACCACAAGAUCCAGCGUACCACCCCGGUUUACUUUAUGUGCAUUUGCAAUUUUACGUGAUCAAGAAAUCUUUUGACUAUUAGCAAAAAAUCCAAGUUGUCAUUCAAAAUAAUUACCUUGUCCCAUGCCAGUGACAACGCCCAAGAUGAAAGCAUAUGUGAAACUGUCAAAACCGUGUACAAGGCACCCAGCGAAACAUCUCCGGGAGCCGAUACUCACACCGCACGGGGUCGCCUAUGGAGAAGUAGCACGUGCAGCUACUUCCUACGACAGAGGACACACACAGGGACUUGCAGGAGUAGGUAGCAUCAAGGCCACCACACAGGUCUUGGCGUAGGAGAAGACCCUUGUCAGAAGAGACCUGAAAUGAUGGGAUUAGAGCUGUGAUGGUAUCUCAUGACUUAGUAUCUGGGGGACAGGGGAGAGUUUUGCAGGCUCCAGCCCAGGGUCCGCUACCACCCGGGGGGAGAUCAGCUAUCCCAAGUCACGUUGAUCAUCGACCAAAGGGAAGCGCUCAUAGCGCCAACCACAAUGAGGGUGAUGAUUCAUGGGAGGCCCUUGCACGAGUUGGGUGAAGACUCAGUGCUGUGAGCCGGGGGAUGUAACAUUACAAAGCUUACCUGAGAAGAGAUGAUCGGCACACAAGCAACAGAAGACCUUUUUCAGGGGCGUAAGAGCACACUUUUUGUUGCUGUUGCGUUCUAGUGGCUUGGUGCCCAGAGGAAUCUUUACGGAAUGGCUAGCUGGCCACAAGCGUAGCUCGUGCAAGUUAUGAUUGAAAAGAAACAUGGAAGUUUGUUGCCUUUGUUUUAUCUAAAUAGACUUAUGGUAACAAGAAUCGAUUUUAUUGUUGAAAUUCCUGCAGGAAAAACACUUUGCUACUGUUAGCUCAAAUCUAGCCCCUAUCAUCCUUCCCCCCGUUGAAAUAUUUGUUCCUAGAAUGAUGAUUUUCAUAAGAACAGCCUUUUAGGAGAAUGUGAUUAUUCUGUCAUAGCAGAGGAGAAUGCACUUACCACGAAGCAAAAGAGACUUCUAACUACUCCAUUGAAAGAGUAAACCAGUUGCCCAGGUGAUAACAGAAAGUCUUAAAUUGAUUCACUGGAAGAAAAUUAAACCAGACAAUACAGUUGUUACUAUUUGAUAAUCGGAAUCAAGGUUAUCUGUGACCUGGACAGAAACACAUUGAUUUGCUCUGUCUCUAGUGUAUAAACGGAGGCCACCCUGUGUAGACAGACAGUGGGUACUUCUGAGCUGCCCUGUGUGUGAGUGCUCAUCGCACAAGCAGAGUGUUCUCAGGGUCCUGGGGGCAAGUGAGAGUUUAGGACCAAGUGGAACUCCGACAUGUGACCUAACCUGGUCUCCCCUAAAAAUCAGCAGAAAGAAGGAUGCCUGAGCCUGCCUGGGAGAGAGCCCUUUGGAAUUGUCCUUACUGAUGGAUGAUAACUGGAUUAGAUGCUCCCCAAUUAAACCAGCUGAGCGCCAGCCCUCAGGCUUUGAGCCAGGCAAGACUUGUCUAGAAAUUCACUUUUCCAAUCUAGCUUUAACAAGAAAAGAAAUUUAUAAAUGGAGAUGUCAAAACAAUUGUAAAGGAAAAUGUCAAACGGAAAUUUAGAUAAUUCAGCUCCUUUAGUGGGAGUUCUAAAGCUGCAGAUAACAUGGUCCAAGCAAAGAGGGCUGGAGCCGAAUCGGACUUCACCAAGAUGAGUCAUUACUGCAAUUUCCAGAUCUACCACUCAUCCGAGAAAGCUCGUCAUGGAAAAGAGUGCUGCGCACACAGCCGGGCCCUUGGGGUCUACAUGGCCUCACCCAGCAAUACAUGCCGUGGUCUGAACUAUCAGGAUGUCUGCACAUUCCAGGACAGAUGACACGUGCCGUGAUCAAAGACACCAGAAGAAAGCAAAGAGCACAAGCAGACAAGGCGAUGGGCACUCCCAGAAGGCCUGAUGGCAAUCAUGUACUAAUGAGAGGGUCCAUGUGACUAGGAGUGACACACCAAGAGUGUCCUUCCUGAGAAGAGGCCUGAAAUGAUGAAAUUAUAGCCUCGGUGGUUGAAGGGAGGACAAAUUGGGCGCUUCUUAUUUUUCACGUAUGUCAAGUAUGCACAAGCAGUAGGUCUACAUGGAGCCAGCCAGGAUGUCUGAGAGUUUCAAAUACUUGAUGAUUGAAGGUUCUCCUAAAAUGUACACGCAGAAGAUAAAUGAGGGAAAGGUGGAGGGUCAAGGAGAGCCAAGGCAGUCUCGAGGAGAAAAACAAGGCUGGCAGAUGUGAUCCCCCGGCUCUCGAGACUUUGUAUAAAGCUGCCUCACUUACUAUCACGCACAUGGAAAGGCGGGCGGAUCGAUGGAACAGAACGGAGUGUGCAGAGGCAGAAGCACACAGGUGCGUGCUCCAGCUUGUGGCUCUGCAUCGGUCCUCCCAGGAGGCUUGGGCAGGAGGCACACAGUCGGAUCUCGCCACUGCCUGGGAGCCAGUGCCCCGCGAGCCAUGGCUCACACGGUCCCUCUGGGCCGUCCAGGCUUCUCUCGGACCAGCCCUUGGACAGGAUGUCCGCAGCCGUCGUAGGCCUACGCCCACCCAGAGGGAAGGGCAGGAUCCGGGGGCUUUCAGGAUGGGCACCUCCACCGCAGCCUAGGGGUGCUCAUUCCAUGGAGUCCCGUGGACUCCUUCUACCUGUGGGCUCCAUGUGGGACCUCCUGAAGCCAGAGACCUACAGCCCGAACUCAUCUCUCCAGAAAGAUCCCCUAGUUAGGCUCUAACACAGUCUGCGUCACCAGGUCAGGUAUCAUCGUAAAGCAACAAUAAAGGUUUGAGUAGAGGUAUAAUAUCCUGAUGCCACGCAUCUCUCCCACCUUCACAACGUUGUGGGCACCAUCAUCUUCCUUACAUUUCAGAUCCUUCUGGAAACCAGCCCAGCACUUCCUGUCACAGAGUAGUUUCCAGAGACUCUUUCUGGCGCUCACGCAAGCACUUUUUGCCUCUUUCCCCCACAAAUAUUUCCAGAGUACUCAUUAGAAAUGGAUUUAAAAACACCUUGGUGUUAGGAAGGACCUUCUCACUUGUCACCUACAUGGGAGGAGCUGGGUAAUGAUUACUUACUGAAGACAAACUUGCCCUCAAAUCAGAUAGUAAGACACUUGAGAAACCAAGCCAGAGCAACCAUGGCCAUUUCCCCAUUACCCCCACUAUGGACCAACAUGCUUCAGCUGUUCUUUGGAUUCACCAAGACAGGAGCCUCAUUUGAUCACAUCUCCUACGAAGAAAAAUUGAAUUAGAUCAAGUCACCUUCAAUCAUGCGCAUGAGAAGUGAGGAAGCCAAAUAUUUGCCCCCAAAAAAUUAAAAAACAAGAACCAGUAUGCUUUCUCUAACCAUGUGCAUGCCAGGCACACACUCAGAUGCUGUGCCAACUCCUAGCUAUGAUAGGAAUUCCAGUAUAUCACUGAUGUUUCUAGAUCCCCUCGUGGGGCAUGUCAUGCUCUUCUUGGAAAAUAAGAAAGCAUUGCAUUCAAAUUUUUUUUAAAAUAAAUUACAUAGCUGUUGUUGAUAGAAAUGAUAUAUUUUUAAGCAACUGUUUUCCUUACUUAGUAUUUCAUUAUCACUAUCUGCCUAAGUGUGCUUAAUAUUAACACCAGCGACGCAGCUUUUAUUGGAGGCCGCCACUUGUCGUCACCAGCCUCUGGGCAGCCGUGUGACCUCACAACCAUAAAAGCCCACUGCACACAAGGGAUUCGCAGGAUCUGGUUUCCAAGCCUAACCCAGAAAAGAAAUUCCUUCUGAAGAUGCUCACUUUUGUUUCCGAGAUAUUUGGAAGUCCUAUUUUUACAGUGGAGUUUCACUAAGCAUUAUGCUAAACUGCUCACCGCGUGCAAAGUGCCUCCUUUGGUAGCAGAUAGGGUGCCCCUGGCGAGAUAAGGUGGUCCCGCUCCCAGACACGGCAAUCUUCAAACCCUCACGAUGAUUGCAGCAGAUAAAAGCCUCUGAAAAGUGCCGUGUUGGCAGGAAUUUCCUCUGCAACCUGCAAAGGAAAAUCAAGUAAUAGUAACUUAAGAAAUGAAUAACCCAGGGCCACUGCGAGUCCCGGGUUCACCGCGAAUGUGAGACCCUCUCAACAACCACCCAGCGGGUAGCUCCAGGGGUGUGAUUCCCUUGCAUGCAUGAAACACCUACCGACCUACCACAGGCAGCUCCUACUGGGAAGUCCAUGUGACUUCUCCAGGCCAAGAAAAAAAAAGUCACUCUACUUACAAAGGAAACAGUAAGGCCCCUACCUUUUUUCCUGCAAGGUAAUAGUACAAUACAUCAUAUUAUGCAUGAGGCUUCCUAGACACUUGACAAGACUGAAGAUUCGUGUAACCAUUAACCUACAACAGUUUAGCUACAAAACACAAGCUCAAAGACUUUGAGAAGAUUUGAACUUCACGUAAAGUCCCCUGAACACCACUCCUUAGAGCUUUCAUGUUCAAAAUUAGAAAGGGGGGAGGGGGAAGAUUGGACAACUGAAUCAAUAAUAAAAAUUUGAUCACACUUUAAACAGAGAUCAUCUGUGUUUGCAUCCCCAGAUCCUUUAUCAGUAAUAUGUUGAUGCAUGUUUGAAAAUUUAUUAGAUGCUGUAAAACAAAUCAUUAAGCAGGAAGCAGUUCUGAGCCUCAGCGCUCUCUGACCCUUUGUAACCCUAUUAUAGCUCCGAAGUGUUUCUAACAAACAAAAGAGAAAUUAGCUCUUUUGUUCUCAGGACUGUCAAGCAGGUUAGUUCAUCUAACAUAGUCUUUUAUUAAUAAAUGGCACAGAUUUUCAUGCUAGCGUAGCUAAAGCAAAUCACAUCAUCGUCUGAAAAAGACAUACCUAUUAUUUUUCAGUGAUAUAUUGCUUUGCAGCUGUAGCCAAAACAAUCUAAUAAGCACUAUUAGAUAAAGGAUUCUGAAUAUGAAUGUAUUGAAUUUGUAGUGGAAGAAAAUGAACAUAUUGCAGCAUUUAUGUCAGAUUGGGUUAAGCUUGGGCAUCUCUUUCUCCUUAAUAAAUGCAGAUCAAAAGACUUCUCUUAUGUAAAAAAUAAUAAUACAAAUUUCAGCAAUAUGAAAUAACACAACCACUUUGUAAUGUUAGGAGGAAAUCAGUCAGCCAUGUGCUGUACGGAAUAUAAAUUAUUUUAGGAGGGCAAACAGAUCCUGUGAUGCUUUCUCCCAUACAUUUAUAUUCAUAAAAGGUUCCAAACGCCUAGAACAAUAGCAGUGAUCUAUUUGCCAUAAAGUAUUCCGGCAUUGGUGGUGUCUCUCAUGACAGCUUUGAUAGACAUGUACUAUAUAAGAAAAAUAUCUUCUAGCACUUGACUCGCUUAAUAAAUUGAUUAAACUUCUC